This 310-nucleotide long non-coding RNA is filed under the name Mytilus galloprovincialis (Mediterranean mussel). Lineage: Eukaryota; Metazoa; Mollusca; Bivalvia; Mytilida; Mytilidae. The record is from RNAcentral.
CAUAUGGUUUUAUUGAAAUUAAAUAAACCGAUCAUUUCAUUCCUUAUUUUGUAAGACACUAAUUUUUCAUCCCUAGUUUCAGAUGAUAAGGGGAAAUCAUAUACAUGUACAUGUGUACUUGGAGCUAUGUUCAUCGGUCAUGUCUGUACAUUAUGUGUUCUUACAAAAUGUAUUUUGAUGAAAGUGAAAUGAGAAAAAAUUUCAGAUCUCCAUUCGUAAGAUUGUAAUCAUUUCAUUACCGAUCAUUUGGAAACUUAUAGUAUUAUGGAAAAUUGCAGCAUUUAAAGAAUCAAGACUUGAAAACUAAAAG